Molecule: long non-coding RNA, 1908 nt
Organism: Parus major (Great Tit)
Lineage: Eukaryota; Metazoa; Chordata; Aves; Passeriformes; Paridae
Source: Ensembl
NNGACCCUGAAACUUGGCAAACCAAGGGUCCCUAUGAACUUGUCACCUGGGGGCGAGGUUAUGCGUGUGUAUCCACCCCUACAGGCCCCCGAUGGAUUCCUCAAAAAUGGGUAAAACCUUUUGUUCCAAAGAAUCCAGCACCAGCAAGAAGAGAAGAGAAGCAAGUGGCUGUUGCUUCCAAGAGAAGACACUGCUGGAGAGAGCAAGAAGAAACCUUUCUAGCCUCUGACCUACAUACUUUAGCUGUGAAUAUGUUUUAAAAAAUGUCUGUUUCCUUUUUUUUUUAGAAAUAAUCUACCUCUUACUCAAAUCCAUGAUGAGCCUUAACCCUGCUGUCAUCCUGCUCGCACUGAGCAGCCUGACAGCAGCCUGGAUCGUCCCACAGCCACGCCAGAACAUCUGGGUGACCCUGGCACAAACACUCCAGCAAGAAAAUAUUUGUCUAUUUACUGCAGCAGCGAAAAAUCCUAUGUCUACCUGCCUGGUAGGAAUCCCUUUGCAGCAUGAUGAAUUCACACACAGUUUUAAUACACUGACUCCUGAAGCAGGUAAUAAAUUACACAGCAUUCAAAUAGAAACAGAGUUAAGAAACCUUGUCAAAGAGUGGCUGCCACAUUUUCCUAAAGCAACCCAAGAACCCCAGGAGUUAGAGCUACUGGGUUCCUCUCCAGCAUCAUACUGUGUACACUUUAGGGUCAGUCCUCCAAUUCAUAAAGAAACCUUCCACCAUAUAGUACAACAUCGAGAAGAAUUCACAGCAAAAAGGUGGUGCCAUGUGCUAAGCUACAUCAAAGUGCACUCCUCAGCUCAUACACAUCCCAAAAGCCUCCCCAAAGGACUGUUCCUCAUUUGUGGGGAUCACGCAUGGGCAGGAAUUCCAUCCCGUCUUCUCGGAGGGCCGUGUACCAUAGGGCGUCUAUCACUGUCAGCACCCAGUCAAACAUUAAUUGGUGAAUGGACCCAUAAAAACAAUUUGACCAGAAAAAUUCAAAAGAGAAGUGUUACAAAAUUAGAUGAAAAUUGUGAUUCAGAGAUUUUCCAUUGGUCCAAAUCAAAAAGAAUUGCUGCAUCCAUUUUCCUUCCUUGGGUGGCUGCAGCCAAAGCCCUAGGUGAAUUGGGACACCUAGAAUGCUGGGUGGUAAGACAAGAGAAUUUAACAUCCAACACCAUAAGUGCCCACCUAGAAGAUGAGGAAGUUAGCAGGCAGGCAACACUCCAAAAUGGUGCAGCGAUAGACUUUCUCCUAUUGCUCCACGGGCACGAGUGCCAGGAGUCGGAGGGUCUCUGCUGCAUGAAUCUGACAUUGAAAGCUCCUAACAUUCAUGCUACACUCCGAGAGAUGAAAAGCAUGAUCGGACAAGUCAAGCAAGAAACAGAUGACUGGUUCAAUGGACUGUUUAAAAACUGGGGACUCUCGGGGUGGUGGGCUUCAGUAGUGAAAACUAUUCUGUCACUGCUAGUCAUUGUUUUGCUAACAGUAUUAGUGUUCGGAGCAUUAAGCAAAAUACUGUACAGAAGCAUAAUUAAGCUAAUCUCAGCUACCUCAGGUGUCAACCAGAUAGAGUUGGCAGACCGGAGUAACCCUCACCGGCCCGCAAAUGGGAAUUGGUGGGCCACUUCAGGUCGGUAAAUCAUAUAAGCUCGUUACCUUUCGUUUAAUUAUAUAUUACAAAAUAGGUGGAGAUGUGGUACUGCACAUUUCUGGGAGUUACUUAGUUUCUGUGUAAACCCUCCCUGCAGCUGUGACAUGUUUUUCCCCUCCCCUCCUUGUCUCUGAAAUGUUAUGCUGUUGGUUGGUGUUAUAUGUCUCCCCGCCCCUCUCCCGAGGUUUGAAAGAGUCUGGGAAGUGUAUCCUCGGUCUCUUCUCUCUCCUGGAAGCAGCCAGAAUAAAUAUCCUCUGUUACCCCG